AUAACUACCGCAAUAUUCUAAAUACAUUAGGAUUUCCAGAAGAAGAAAAAUAGUUGUUGCAUAUUCUAAAUCACAAGAAAUGGCAGCAAAUAAGUUUUCAUCUCUUUUAUUAUUUUCAUUGAUGGUAUCUACGUUUAUCCUUUUACCAAUGGCUUCAGGAAAAAUCCGUAUAUGUCCGGUAUAAGGAGACCACCUUGUAAGGUCAGCCAAGAAUGUAUACAAAACUGUAGAAAAUUAGGGUACAUGACAAGAGGCUGUGAAGAAAAACAUUCCAGUAUAUAUUGUUGUUGUAUACCCAAAAUGAAAUCUCAGGAUAAUCCUCAUCACCUAGUGCAUUCCUAACUAAUUAACCUCUCAUUUUUAUGUAUUUUCAUUAUAUGAAUAAAAAUAUAUUUAUGUA
Long non-coding RNA from Brassica napus (rape), 400 nucleotides. RefSeq lists it as uncharacterized. NCBI's taxonomy places the organism in Eukaryota, Viridiplantae, Streptophyta, Magnoliopsida, Brassicales, Brassicaceae. The record is from RefSeq and is a predicted model, not a curated record. The transcript has 3 exons.